This 72-nucleotide transfer RNA is filed under the name Camelus dromedarius (Arabian camel). It matches the Rfam family "tRNA". From Rfam's summary of the family: Transfer RNA (tRNA) molecules are approximately 80 nucleotides in length. Their secondary structure includes four short double-helical elements and three loops (D, anti-codon, and T loops). RNAcentral also lists the same sequence under 1 other name. Lineage: Eukaryota; Metazoa; Chordata; Mammalia; Artiodactyla; Camelidae. The record is from Rfam by way of RNAcentral.
AAGGGUAUAGCUCAGCCAUAGAGGGCGUGCCUAGCAUGCACAAGGUCCUGGGUUCAAUCCCUAGUACCUCCA